GAUGAACGCUGGCGGCGUGCUUAACACAUGCAAGUCGAACGGAAAGGCCCAAGCUUGCUUGGGUACUCGAGUGGCGAACGGGUGAGUAACACGUGGGUGAUCUGCCCUGCACUUCGGGAUAAGCCUGGGAAACUGGGCCUAAUACCGGAUAGGACGAUGGUUUGGAUGCCAUUGUGGAAAGUUUUUUCGGUGUGGGAUGAGCUCGCGGCCUAUCAGCUUGUUGGUGGGGUAAUGGCCUACCAAGGCGUCGACGGGUAGCCGGCCUGAGAGGGUGUACGGCCACAUUGGGACUGAGAUACGGCCCAGACUCCUACGGGAGGCAGCAGUGGGGAAUAUUGCACAAUGGGCGCAAGCCUGACGCAGCGACGCCGCGUGGGGGAUGACGGCCUUCGGGUUGUAAACUCCUUUCGCUAGGGACGAAGCGUUUUUGUGACGGUACCUGGAGAAGAAGCACCGGCUAACUACGUG
Molecule: ribosomal RNA, 468 nt
Filed under: uncultured bacterium
Lineage: Bacteria
Description: partial 16S ribosomal RNA
Rfam family: Bacterial small subunit ribosomal RNA
Source: RNAcentral